AUUGAACGCUGGCGGCAGGCCUAACACAUGCAAGUCGAGCGGAUGAAGGGAGCUUGCUCCUGGAUUCAGCGGCGGACGGGUGAGUAAUGCCUAGGAAUCUGCCUGGUAGUGGGGGAUAACGUCCGGAAACGGGCGCUAAUACCGCAUACGUCCUGAGGGAGAAAGUGGGGGAUCUUCGUACCUCACGCUAUCAGAUGAGCCUAGGUCGGAUUAGCUAGUUGGUGGGGUAAAGGCCUACCAAGGCGACGAUCCGUAACUGGUCUGAGAGGAUGAUCAGUCACACUGGAACUGAGACACGGUCCAGACUCCUACGGGAGGCAGCAGUGGGGAAUAUUGGACAAUGGGCGAAAGCCUGAUCCAGCCAUGCCGCGUGUGUGAAGAAGGUCUUAGGAUUGUAAAGCACUUUAAGUUGGGAGGAAGGGAAGUAAGUUAAUACCUUGCUGUAUUGACGUUACCAACAGAAUAAGCACCGGCUAACUUCGUG
RNAcentral lists this ribosomal RNA (484 nucleotides) under uncultured bacterium. RNAcentral's name for it is "partial 16S ribosomal RNA". It matches the Rfam family "Bacterial small subunit ribosomal RNA", at positions 30 to 507 of the family's 1533-position model. The record is from RNAcentral.